UCAGACCCUCACCCAUCUACUCCUGGAAUAGACCCCUCACCUCUGGCUGACUUACUCAAGUCCUCAAAUCAUGAUUUAAAGACUUCAAGUAAGUGACAGAAU
This is a non-coding RNA of Chelonoidis abingdonii (Abingdon island giant tortoise), 102 nucleotides long. The record is from RefSeq and is a predicted model, not a curated record. NCBI's taxonomy places the organism in Eukaryota, Metazoa, Chordata, Testudines, Testudinidae.